Long non-coding RNA from Cyprinus carpio carpio, 614 nucleotides. The record is from Ensembl. NCBI's taxonomy places the organism in Eukaryota, Metazoa, Chordata, Actinopteri, Cypriniformes, Cyprinidae.
CUCUCGCUCUCGCUCUCUCUCUCGCUCUCUCUCUCGCUCUCUGAUUUUCCUUUCCUUUUCAUCUGAACUGUAAUUCAUAAUUCAGUUACACAUAUUUUCUUUCUUCCUUUCUCUUGUUCAUCAUGGCAUAUUUUCAAAGCUCAGAAUCAGAUUUUGAUCAGUUCUGUCAGAAAGCUGCUUGUAUUAACAGGGAACUUGAACUCGAAGCUCAAUGCUGAACUUGAAGAAGUUGCCAAGGAAGCUGAAGUCCUUCAAAGGUUCAACACUUCACAGUUGAAAAGGAAGACCAAAGGAAGGCCUGUCAAACUCUUGUUUGUGGAGAGGGAUGAAUUUGACCAUCUUGUGUUUACGGAGAAGACCAAAAGCUGCAAAGGCAAACAUUUCCAAUGGAUUUCUCACAGAUUACUUAGUCCUUCUCCAUCAGCUCAACACAAUAGCAGCCCUUCCAAAAGCAUCCACAUCGCUCUCUCUUGUGUGGCAUGUCUGCUCUCAGUCCUUAGCAUGUCUACUUGUAUUAUUUCUCCUCUAGUCAACACUCCCAUCUCUACUGUGAACACUCCUGUCACUAUCACCAUCCCACCUACUGUAUUCUACAUGCCAAUUAAUUCAAAAUG